GCGCAUUUUUUUGUGUAUUGAUUCAUUGUUUAUCUGACGUCCAGCGACAAAUAUGUCAUUGAAUGCUUAUUCAAAACUUUCUUAACAGGUUUAAUGUUUCUGAAACCCUCUCCCUCCCUUUUAUCUAUUAUUUGAGGCAGUUUGGGGGACUAGUUUGAAUGUUCUCUAUUCAGUACAUGGGACCUGGUGUCUUAGAACGAACGAUUAUAAUAGAAAAAAGGAUCAAUUUAUAUUGCACAUUUUCAAAUCAGAAAGAAUGGAUAGUGUGUUUCUAGGGACAUAGGAACAUGCAAGGAUAAAAAAUGCUGGCAUGCUUCUUUAUCAAUUUCGAUGGGCACAUACAAGGAUUAAUGAAACAUCCUUAAGUUCAUCCUUGCAUUUUUCUUUAUAUAUUUGUUUCAAUAUUUAUUUUGUUUGCACACUUUUUAUUAAAAAACAAAGACCCAUGCGCGAGAUCUAGAAGAAAAAACCCAUGCACAAUCAGUACAAUACUGUUGAUAAAGUUGCAGUAGGAACUGAUUUUUCUCUUUAUCUUGUCUAGAUUGUGGUGCACAUUCGCCUAUACAUUGUAUUUUUAUAUAUGUUGUUGUUUGCAAUUUGAUGAUAGUAUCAAGAAAAACGUAAAUAGCUGAGUGACAACUAUAGAACUACUUUUAUUUCCAUGAUGAACCAAAGUGAACAUAUAUAUACAUACAACUUUAAUAUUAAACCAGCAUAAAUUAAUGCUCGUGGUUUUAGUAUUAUUCAACUAGGAAAGUUUUCGCUAAAAUGGGCUAUCGAAAAUACAGCUGAACGGAUUAAUCCUGCGCUAAAAUGGGCUCUAAUGUCUGCGCUAAAAUGUCCCCUAGUAGUUUUGCGCUAAAAUUAUCUGCGCCCAUCUGUUUUCUUGUUCAUAGUUGAGAUUAAAUUUCUUUUUGUUUAUGAAAUUGGCAAAUUUGAUUAAAUUAAUUUUAUUGUGGUUAAUUUUGAAUUUGCUUUCAACUGUUGAUUCUUUUACCAUUUAAUACAGGCGAUGAAACAAACGAUUCAACUAAUAAAAAUUUUAUUUUCGGAAAUUAUCAAAAGCGGAUAAAAGAAUAAGCCCUUGACAUGCACCAUUUGCGAGUAUAAUGGUCUUGUGAAACAAUGAUAGUCCGUCGGAAGGGGGCGAUAAAUGACUGACCCGUGUUUUAUUAAGAGAGAGCAAUAUCUCUUGCACAUAAAAGUCACCCUUUUAUAUUUCGAAAAGAGCAGGCUAAGGCUACAAGGAAGCACUCGCACCCUCAAAGUGGAAACGGAUUAAUAUAAGUUGUAAUAACUUGUUUCCGAAUCCACUAUAAAUAAAUAUGUUUAAACUAAAAGAAAAAGCAGCAGAAAAGACAGUGGUUUAAACUUUUUUUUUAAAUAUCCUGUUUCAAUCAAAAGAAAGAG
RNAcentral lists this long non-coding RNA (1410 nucleotides) under Mytilus galloprovincialis (Mediterranean mussel). Lineage: Eukaryota; Metazoa; Mollusca; Bivalvia; Mytilida; Mytilidae. The record is from RNAcentral.